This 253-nucleotide ribosomal RNA is filed under the name uncultured bacterium. RNAcentral describes it as "partial 16S ribosomal RNA". It matches the Rfam family "Bacterial small subunit ribosomal RNA", at positions 524 to 776 of the family's 1533-position model. The record is from RNAcentral.
UACGGGGGGGGCAAGCGUUGUUCGGAAUUACUGGGCGUAAAGGGCCAGUAGGCGGCCAACUAAGUCGGAUGUGAAAUCCCCAGGCUCAACUUGGGAACUGCAUCCGAUACUGGAUGGCUUGAAUUCGGGAGAGGGAUGCAGAAUUCCAGGUGUAGCGGUGAAAUGCGUAGAUAUCUGGAGGAAUACCGGUGGCGAAGGCGGCAGCCUGGACCGACAUUGACGCUGAAGGGCGAAAGCGAGGGGAGCAAACGGG